UUAUGGAUAUUGUCAUUUUCCAUUUUUAAAAUUUUUUUUUUCUAUAAAUAUCAAUAACAUUUUAUUUGUUGGGUAAAAAAGCGUGAAAAUUUAAUGCAAGGCUCCUGAUAUAUUGCUACAAUAGCAGUUGUAAAUACAUAGACACAAUUUUUUUUUAUAAACAUUUAAAGUUCAAAAUUUAUAAAAUGUUCAAAUUUUAUAGCUAAGGAUUGAAAAUGUAUAACAAGGUUUCACGUAAAUAGGUUAUAUAUAAAUUAUAUCAUCAAAUAUACUUGGUAAUAUCAUAGGCUGACUGACCACCGUUUUCGCUCAGAAUCGUUUUUCUUGUACAAUGAUAUUAUAUCAUUGAAUUCAAAUUUAACACCAUCCAUUACAGUGACCCACUUGUAACCUACUGUACAGCAGAGUGACAUCCACUUACCCACCUUUGUUUAUUUUUAAGUUUAUAUAAUAGUAAUUAAAAAAAUUAGGGAUGACAAACUUAUAUCCUAAACUCAAACUAAAACAAGGUUCCAUGUAAAUACAUUAUAGAUAAAUAUUACUUUAUUCACCACAAUAUCAUCAAAUAUACUUGGUAAUAUCAUGGGUUGAGUGACCAUCUUUGCUCAGAAUCGCUUUUCUUAUUAUAUCAUUAAAUUUAAAUUUAACAUAAUCCAUUACAGUGACCCACUUGUAACCUACUGUACAGCAGAGCAUCACACACUUGCCCACCUUUUUUUUCCUUCUUAUUUUAUGUAAUGUAAUGAUAUGCGCACACACUAUUAUAAUAAACUAAAAUUUUACAGAAUAAUAAACAACGGACAGACUGUUGUUUGUAGAAAUUGGUCACAUCAAAUAAAACCAUUAACAAUGACACUUAAGAUAUUGACACGCACUUAUAACGGUAUUACGUAGGAUGUGUGUGACUUUGUUUUAUGCUGACGCCAAAGAAUAAUCUAGUUCCCAGGCUCACUAUAACUUUUUGAUAAAGCUGCCUACCACUCUCUGGUCAGCAUCCUCGUGUUGUCCCUUAAAUCAGUGCAUGAGCACCAACCACCAGAGUAACAACCUCUCAAGUCUCAAAAAACCGAUUUCAAUGAGCGACAACUGGACUUCUUAUGCGAGCAAUAGUCAGUGCGUUCUUUAAUUCAAUUUGUGUAUUUGAAGUAUUACUUUGUUUCAUCUAAAACCUAAAACUCUUACAAUAUUAUCUACAAACAACUGCGAAUCAGGUAAGGCAUAUAAUUAAAAUAUUUUAUGUUGAUUGCAGUUAAUACAUUCUAUGUGCUUUUUCCAUAAAAUUAUAUUGUACGGUGUAUUCAAUCUAAUUCUCCAAUACACGAUCUCGAGAGCCCUCCGAAUAUCUGGAGGAAGGUAAUAGCGUAAUUUGACCACACUAAUUUUACGAUUUUAAUAUAACUAUCGACAGGAAUCUUAUUUCUACGUUAUUACAGUAACAAAUCACAACUCCAGUUGCGCUUUAGGCGUCUUGGUGGUUAUCAGGUAUAGUCCAAAUUUUUAAUAAGGGAAUUCAAUUGAGUACUUAGGUGGUUGUGGAAUCUUUUAUAGAAACAUUUAAAUUCAUCACUUAUUGUUUUUAGUUUAAGAUCUGAAUGUAAGAAAAAAUUGAGACGUAGGGAGGUGCAUUAGUUAACUUCCUUAGAACAAUGUUUUGAAAUGCUUGAAUUUUGUUAGUGUUUGAUUUUUUUGCAUUAAUGCACCUAAAUGUUCAAUUAAUAGGCCCCCAUAUCAAAUGUUGAGACCUUAUACUAAAUGUUUUUGCGGGCCCUAUUUAAUAUUAUUUAAUAUAAAAUAAGUAUUCCUAUCAACAUUUUAAAAAUCAUUUCAACAGGCCCCUUAACUCUAGGUCCUUAUAGGGGCCCUGGUUUACAGUGUCGUAAUUGGCUGGAAUGUUAAUUUGAAAUGUAGUGUAAUAUUUGAGUAUUCCCAUAUUCAUUUUUAAAUUUGUUUUCAAGUAUUUUAUCUAUCUAUAUAUAUAUAAAAGAGAGUUCAAAAAAAUGUUAGACCAUUUAUAACUCAAGAACAUGCUACAUUAUCCCUGAGUGCUGUACGCUUAUUUAAAAAGGGGAAAUUAGAACCUGGAGAGGUGCUCUAACAGGGAUUUUGAGAUUUACGAUGGAAAUUUUUGUUUAUAAAUGGUUGCUAUUAUAAUAAUAAUUAAUGGUUGCCAUUGGUUAAUCGUUAAUUAAAUUAAUAUUAUUAUAAUAUAUAAAUAUAUAUUCAAGAUGAUCACUGAAAAUGUUUUUUUUUUUUAUCGAAGCACCUUUUGUAUUUACGCGCAUAUCUCAAAAAGUACUCAACGGAUUUUCAUACGGUUUUCACUAAUAUAUCGGUCAGUGGCGUAAUUAUGGGGGGGGGGGAUAUGGGGAUAUAUCCCCCCUAGACCCUUUUUUUUUUUUAGAAUACCCAUAAUUAAAUUCCCUUAAGCACUAAGUUUUAAAAGAUUUUAAGAUAAGAAAUAAGAAUUCAUGGAUAUUAAUUAAUUUAAGACUGGAAAGAUUCAUCAGGAACUGCUUCUAUAGCCAAUAUGCUUAUAAAAUCAAUUGAUUCAGAGUUAAUUGUAUCAGUUUAUGUUGUUAAGGUGAAUAUUAUUAUUUUUUAUAAAUUUAAAAUAAUUUAUUUCCUAUUGUAAUGUAAAUUGUAUAUUUUGUAAUAAGUAAUUAGUUGUAAUUUAAUUUGUAAAUUGUAUGUAUUUAGCUACUGUUUUCAUAUGAUUUGUCUCUAUGCAAGCAGUUGCAAAGAGAGCGAAUUGAUUUAAAAGAAGCAGUCAAUCUCACAGAAGAUAUAGUGACAGAGUUAAAGCUAACUAGAAGUAAUAGUGAUUGUGAAUUUAAAAAAAUAUUUAGUCAAGCAAAGGACAAGUCUGCUAAACUAGACAUUGAAUUAACAUUUAACACUCAAAAGAAUCAUUAAAAAACAAAAAAACCGUGCCAACAGAUGGAGAGUUAAAUGUAGAAACUAUAGGAUAACAGUUUUUCUACCUUAUCUUGAUUAUUUUAUAACUGAAUUACAAGAAAGGUUUUUGUCUCAUUCAGAUAUUUUCAAAGGGUUCGAAUGCUUAUUUUCAACAAAUUCAAAUUUAACUGAAGAUGAAGAAUUAUAAUUCAAACAAUUGGUAGAAUUUUAUAGUCCUGAUGUAGAAAGUUUUGACAAAUCAUUUUUUGAAUUAAAAUUAUGGAAGCGUAAAUUAAAUAAAUGUGAAAAGCUUCCAAAAUCUGGUCUCCAAGCACUUAUUAUGUGUGAUGAACAAAUUUAUCCCAACAUAUUUUUGUUCUUAAAAAUAUUAUGUACAUUGCCAGUCUCAACCACUUCACCAGAGCGUAUGUUUUCUACUUUAAAAAGAGUAAAAACUUAUCUCAGAAACACAAUGGGUCAGGAACGCUUGAAUGGACUUACAAUGUUAUCAGUGUAUCGGGACAUUAAGUUGAACCCCGAUGACAUACUGGAUAUUUUGGCGAAAAAAACCAAAAGAAAACUUGAAAUAAUAUUAUAAUUUAUGAAAAAUAUAUUUAGCUUAAUUUUAUUGUUUACUUUAUUGUCUUUGAAAACCAUUAUUAUACCAUUUACCUCCUUUAAUUAAUUUAUAUAAUAUUGUGAUCUAUAAGAUUUAAUGGUAAAUGGGGGGGGGGGAAUAGCCCCACUGAAACGAUAGUAUAAACUUAUAUCCUAAUCCCACCCCAGAACCAAUUCUAAAUUACGCCACUGAUAUCGGUCGAGUCUUAGGGAAGAAUUUAAUGUAAAAUUUGUCUUGGAAAACUAAUUGGUUGGCCGAAAAAUAAAUUAAUGUUUGUCUGUAUGCCUUUUAUGCAUUUCUAAACAAUUUUUUGUGUGUUAAAACUUUCGGGAUUAUUUAGAUUCACAAUAGGAUCAGGUAGGUCCAACCCUGGGAAGGUGUUCAAACAGGGAUUUUGAUGUUUACGAUGGAAAUUUUUAUUUAUAAAUAGUUGCUUUUGGUUAUAGGAGAAAUACUUAGUAGAAAUUAGUAUUUUAUUUGUUUAUUGAUUGCCAUUUAUUAAUCGAGUAGAGCAUGCAU
Molecule: long non-coding RNA, 4033 nt
Organism: Metopolophium dirhodum (rose-grain aphid)
Lineage: Eukaryota; Metazoa; Arthropoda; Insecta; Hemiptera; Aphididae
Exons: 4
Source: RefSeq, a predicted model, not a curated record